This 445-nucleotide ribosomal RNA is filed under the name uncultured bacterium. Its description in RNAcentral is "bacterial SSU rRNA". It matches the Rfam family "Bacterial small subunit ribosomal RNA", at positions 354 to 796 of the family's 1533-position model. The record is from RNAcentral.
GUGAGGAAUAUUGGGCAAUGCCCGAAAGGGUGACCCAGCAACGCCGCGUGGAGGAUGAAGGUCGUAAGAUUGUAAACUCCUGUUAGAGGGGAAGAAUAACUAAGUUUGGAGCUUAGUAUGACUGUACCCUCAGAGAAAGCCCCGGCUAACUACGUGCCAGCAGCCGCGGUAAUACGUAGGGGGCAAGCGUUGUCCGGAUUUACUGGGUGUAAAGGGCGCGCAGGCGGAAUGGAAAGUCAGUGGUGAAAUCCUACAGCUUAACUGUAGAACUGCCUUUGAUACUUUCAUUCUUGAGUUCGGGAGAGAGAGACGGAAUUCCAGGUGUAGUGGUGAAAUACGUAGAUAUCUGGAAGAACACCAGUUGCGAAGGCGGUCUCUUGGUCCGAUACUGACGCUGAGGCGCGAAAGCGUGGGGAGCAAACAGGAUUAGAAACCCCAGUAGUCC